This 468-nucleotide ribosomal RNA is filed under the name uncultured bacterium. Its description in RNAcentral is "partial 16S ribosomal RNA". It matches the Rfam family "Bacterial small subunit ribosomal RNA", at positions 28 to 507 of the family's 1533-position model. The record is from RNAcentral.
GACGAACGCUGGCGGCGUGCUUAACACAUGCAAGUCGAACGGAAAGGCCCUGCUUUUGUGGGGUGCUCGAGUGGCGAACGGGUGAGUAACACGUGAGUAACCUGCCCUUGACUUUGGGAUAACUUCAGGAAACUGGGGCUAAUACCGGAUAGGAGCUCCUGCUGCAUGGUGUGGGUUGGAAAGUUUCGGCGGUUGGGGAUGGACUCGCGGCUUAUCAGCUUGUUUGUGGGGUAGUGGCGUACCAAGGCUUUGACGGGUAGCCGGCCUGAGAGGGUGACCGGCCACAUUGGGACUGCGAUACGGACCAGACUCCUACGGGAGGCAGCAGUGGGGAAUAUUGCACAAUGGGCGGAAGCCUGAUGCAGCAACGCCGCGUGCGGGAUGACGGCCUUCGGGUUGUAAACCGAUUUCGCCUGUGACGAAGCGUGAGUGACGGUAAUGGGUAAAGAAGCAACGGCUAACUACGUG